UGCCAAUUCCUGGUCCUCAUUCUCACAGGAACUGAUACACCCUUGUACCUUGGUUUUAGGCUCAGUUAUCUCUAGACCUUCAUUCCCCCAGAAACAUAAAGGCAACCAGCAAGCACGUGGAGUCCUUCCAGACAGUGGCUGAUGAACGAUGGAAUACACACUCAGGAGUGAGCAGUAGAAAAUUGAGAAAUGAAAAUGAAGAGAGUUGGCAACAGAAAAAAUAGUGGGAAGAGAAGAACAGUGGCUGAAAGCUGAUUCUUUCAUAGGUUCUGUGGAAGAAGCAUGGAGAGCCAAGGGAAGGUCUGCAAUGCAUGCUUGAGGUAUG
RNAcentral lists this long non-coding RNA (325 nucleotides) under Rattus norvegicus (Norway rat). RNAcentral describes it as "long non-coding RNA NONRATT032716". The record is from RNAcentral. Lineage: Eukaryota; Metazoa; Chordata; Mammalia; Rodentia; Muridae.